GAUGAACGCUGGCGGCGUGCCUAAUACAUGCAAGUAGAACGCUGAAGGAAGGAGCUUGCUCUUUCCGGAUGAGUUGCGAACGGGUGAGUAACGCGUAGGUAACCUGCCUGGUAGCGGGGGAUAACUAUUGGAAACGAUAGCUAAUACCGCAUAACAGUAGAUGUUGCAUGAUAUCUACUUAAAAGGUGCAAUUGCACCACUACCAGCUGGACCUGCGUUGUAUUAGCUAGUUGGUGAGGUAACGGCGCACCAAGGCGACGAUACAUAGCCGACCUGAGAGGGGGAUCGGCCAAAAUGGGAAUGAGACAAGGCCCAGACUCCGAAGGGAGGGAGCAGGAGGGAAUCUUCGGCAAGGGAGGGAAGGCUGACCGAGCAAAGCCGCGUGAGGGAAGAAGGGUUUCGGAUCGGAAAGCUCUGUUGUAAGAGAAGAACGAGUGUGAGAGUGGAAAGUGCACACUGUGACGGUAUCUUACCAGAAAGGGACGGCUAACUACGUG
RNAcentral lists this ribosomal RNA (497 nucleotides) under uncultured bacterium. RNAcentral's name for it is "partial 16S ribosomal RNA". It matches the Rfam family "Bacterial small subunit ribosomal RNA", at positions 28 to 507 of the family's 1533-position model. The record is from RNAcentral.